UCUUGCAAGCUGAGGUUUAUUGGCUGUGUGAGAGCAUUGUUUGUUCACAGGCUUCGGAAUUGUUGAGUCUAUGGAGGUCCUGUAAUGAAUUCAAUUCUGUUCGAGCAAGUUGAGGGGUGUGUUUUCGUAAUGGCGUCUCAUCAGAUUCGAAUUCAUCAUGCCAAGGCCACUGAUUUUUAUCUUAGAGUCAGGAGCAGGCCCAUAAUCGAGGACAAUAAUGGUGUGAGGUUUCCUUCUUAUUAAAUUUUGUGCUAUAAUUAUGUGCUUGUGGUGGUAGCCAAGUGAGUUCUAAUUCUGAUAAUAACUACAGAAGCUACAAAUCUAGAGACUUUGUUCCUUUAUAUGUCAGUAAAAUGGGGCCAUUUCAAAAUCCCAGUGAAACAUACCACUAUUUUGAUCUUCCAUUCUGUAAACCAGCGGAAGCAAUUUCAUUGGGUACUUCAACUUUAUGGGUGACACAUGGUAAAACAUUUGAGACAUGGAUUUUUCCGCUUGCCCAUUUGCUUUGUGGCUAUUGCACAGAUGUAAUUCUAAGGUAUAUAUGUUCUUUUGAAGUUUAUGUGGUAUAUCUAGAUUUAUUAUUAUAAUUUAUAAAAAAAAGCCUUUGGUCAAAUUUUUUUCUUCAAGAUUAUCAUAAUAAUAUAACAACAAAUUUAUUAGAUUGUAUUUCCUGCUUUCAAAUUAUGCCAGGAGAUUGUGUUUUUGAAAGUUGAAGUUGUAGAGCUUCUAUUACCAAGUAUUUUUGUAAACCUAGCCAGGAGGAGAGACUUAGAUAUUGAUAUUCACUAAUUGAUAUCCUUGCAGGUUUUUUUUUCUUCUUUCUCUUUUUUCAUUAGUUUAUUUUUUGUUUUCUGUCAUUUCAUGUAUUGAAACUAUAAUAAUGCUGAAUGAUUGUUGUAAUUUUUUAUUUUUUAAAAAUAAAUGACCUUUGUAUGAAAUUAAAUAUAGGAAACAGAUAACUCUAAGCAACUUAAUCAAGUUCUGAUUUCUAGGAAAUAAAAUCAUUAUUAAAACCAGUUUAUUAGAGUCAACAAUCUAUAUAAAAUCUCAUUUUUGUGAUAUGUUAAUGUGUUUUUAUUACAAUAAUCUAGUUUAUAAACUUUGACAAAAGUUGAAUCUACCUUAUUCAUCUACUUCUAGAGCAGGAACAUAAAUUCAUUAAUUUUCUCAGUCUAUUUUUUUUAUUCGUUUUUUUACUUUAGUUGAUCUAGAAGCAGUAAUGUAAUGUACCUGAGCACAUUUUAGGUAGAUGUUUAAUUCAUAUUGGGAAAAUUGUUCGAUUGUUAUUGGGUGAACCUUUACUGGUCUUAUGUUGCAUUCUGUUACAUCUGCUCAUUAUUAGGAGGAAUUGAAUUGAAUUUUUUGUCAUUGCUUUAUAUGCAGGUUCAAGAACAUAUUAUUACAGAGUCUAAUAAAUUAAUGAAAUCAAUUCAAGUCUUGCUGAAUGCCUUGA
This is a long non-coding RNA of Humulus lupulus (European hop), 1453 nucleotides long. RefSeq lists it as uncharacterized. The transcript has 3 exons. The record is from RefSeq and is a predicted model, not a curated record. NCBI's taxonomy places the organism in Eukaryota, Viridiplantae, Streptophyta, Magnoliopsida, Rosales, Cannabaceae.